CUGCUCUUUGACUGGAUACAGCUUUGCUGUGUGCAGUCUCCUUCAGGGAGUUUGCUUCUGAACCCAGAUGGCCAAAAAACCUGUUUUGUCUUGGAAAUGUUACUUUCCUUAGCUGUUAUCAGUUCAGGUUGCCAAACUGUCCCUCAUUUCACGGCAGAUCUGAAUUCCCUCCACGGAAGCUGGGGAGCUGAGCAUGAUCUGUGCUUUGCAGGCCAUUUUUUGCUGGAGAAGACACGGGCUCAUGCUGCACAGCCCAGAGCUUGCCCUGAGCCAGGAGAUCUGGAAAGGGUGGUGGAAGAGGUCCAAAGGGUGGUGGAAGAGGUCCAAAGGGUGGUGGAAGAGGUCCAAAGGGUGGCAAGCUCCAAAACGUGACCAAAGGGAGGCAGAGCUGUGCUGGGCCUCUGUAGCCUCUGAGCAGAACCAGAGUGCCCGAAACACGUCCUUGCAGCCAGGAGUGGAUGAGCCCCAGGCCCCAUCCACAGGCCUGCAGCUGCCCUGCUCCGGAGCUCCUGCCCAGCGGAGCCUCAGCUCAUCAUCUUCAGAGAUUUCUGCCUCCACCACCACAAAGCAACAACUCAAGUGUCAGAUGAAACAAGCCUUUUUCAGAGCAAAGCCCCAGAGCAGCCGGUAUGAGAGGAGGAGUUUCCACCAUGGAGGGCUGCAAUAUAUCUUCGUGCUGGUGGCCCGGGAGGGAGGAGCAGGGGCUGCCGCAGGAUCUGCGUGGGAGCCCCGUGCUGCAGUGGAAGCUGCCCUGCUGCACCGGCAGUGCGUGGUGCCACGAAGUCCGGACACCGACACUGAGAAAGGAGGUAGCAGGUCUGUGUUGACUUCACAUAUCUGUCUGUGAACAGCAGAAAUUAGACAGUCCUUCUGCCAUUUAGUCACCAGGCAGCCCAUGCUUGCCUAGAGAUAUCAUUUCUCUAAUUCAGUGUUGUGGCUGCUCAGAAUUACACACCCUGCACGGAAAGGAAGAGGAAAUGCAACCUAGCAGCUGAUGAGUGACAAUGAUACAUCACACGCGACAGGCUCUGCAUUUUUGCAAAUCUUCUGCUUGCCUAAGGCACCAAAAAACAUUUUAAGCUAUUGAAUACUGCAGCCAGUAAGAUGCUGCAGUAAUUUAUUGAUGUUCCCAGCUUGCCUUAUUCCUUUCAUCUAUCUUUGUGCCUUCCCUGUAAGGCUGAACUAGCUAAUUUUUUCUUUUUUUUUUUAAAGAAGUUAGGUGAGCUGUUCACCUUCCACUGGGAGGGCCUGAGCUCUUUUUGAGGAUCCUGACACUAGUGAAGGUCAAGAAGUGACCUUCCUUUGCUUUGCCGUGGUGCGUGCGGUGGUACGGACGCACGUCUCUGAGGAAGGGACGAUGCUUUGGUGCAGACAGGCGGAUCAGCUCUCCGGAGCCACUGCCGCAGUGCUGCUGUGCCCUUCUCACCCCACCGCACUUGGAGCAAGUGGGGGCCCCUGUUGCAGCCCCUGGGCUGGAAAAACAKGACUGUGUCUGAGCAUAUUCUGCAAUGCAAGAUCCCCAGGGAAGGAAACAUCUGGAAGGACCGCGUGUGCUACGCAGCUUCAGCACCUCUACUCCUCUCUUGGCGGUGAGGGUCAAUUGCUGCAGGCUCCAGCAUCAGAUGUGGACAGAUGUCUUGCACGGGACUUGACAUGCUCUUCCAGGUGGGGUUUGUGUGCCAGGACGAGAGCUCUCGUGUCCUGGAGAGCUUGGCAGACAUCUCCAACUGCGCAGAAAGCUGAAGAUGCCACUCAGGU
Molecule: long non-coding RNA, 1758 nt
Organism: Dromaius novaehollandiae (emu)
Lineage: Eukaryota; Metazoa; Chordata; Aves; Casuariiformes; Dromaiidae
Source: Ensembl